This 30-nucleotide non-coding RNA is filed under the name Mus musculus (house mouse). The record is from RNAcentral. Lineage: Eukaryota; Metazoa; Chordata; Mammalia; Rodentia; Muridae.
GAAAACCUGAAAGGCGUGCUAGAAGGAUUC